Molecule: long non-coding RNA, 528 nt
Filed under: Gallus gallus (chicken)
Lineage: Eukaryota; Metazoa; Chordata; Aves; Galliformes; Phasianidae
Source: RNAcentral
GGAAUCUUCACUCACUAUGAUAACCCUUAUCCAUUCUUCUUCUGACUGUAAUACCAUUCCAGACUCGGGAGUCUUUUUUCUGGAAAAUAUCAUAUUCACUUUUAUUUUUGUGUAUGCAAAUAUAUUAUUCUUAAAUGGCUGUGCAUACUUUGUUCCUUGGUUACAUAUUUCAAAUGUUGUUCCAAGAAUGAUAGAAAUAAUACGUGAUGUGAAAUACUAUUACCUUUUUAUUAUUAUUUAUUUAAUUUGCAUCAGCACUUAAUCCUUUUAGCUUGUGGAAGUAAAGUAAAAGUGUUUAGGAAAGCUGUGAAUCCGAGAUGUGGCAAGCUUCAAAACUGACACAGAGAGGUCAACUCAUAUCAAAUAAACACAAGAAAAACAGAAAUAGCAUAUAGAUAUAGAUAUAGAUAUACAUGAUAGAUACAGAAAUUGAUAUGGUACAGAUAGAUAAGAGAAUGAUAUGACAUGCUAUGCUGGCAUUGUUUGUUGCAUAAAGAUAUUGGGUUGGGGGCUGGGGAAAGACUAAUG